RNAcentral lists this ribosomal RNA (253 nucleotides) under uncultured bacterium. RNAcentral's name for it is "partial 16S ribosomal RNA". It matches the Rfam family "Bacterial small subunit ribosomal RNA", at positions 524 to 776 of the family's 1533-position model. The record is from RNAcentral.
UACAGAGGUCCCGAGCGUUGUUCGGAUUCACUGGGCGUAAAGGGUGCGCAGGUGGGUUGGCAAGUUUGAUGUGAAAGCCCCGGGCUUAACCCGGGAAUGGCAUUGAAUACUGCUGAUCUGGAGGAUCGGAGGGGGGACUGGAAUUCUUGGUGUAGCAGUGAAAUGCGUAGAUAUCAAGGGGAACACCAGUGGCGAAGGCGAGUCCCUGGACGAUACCUGACACUGAGGCACGAAAGCCGGGGGAGCAAACAGG